UCCUGGUUUCAGUUGGACUAACAGGCCCACCAAGAGAAGCAACAGCUGUCAUGGGAAUACAAUCAUAUGUGCAGAGAGCUACUUGAGGGAACAACAGAGGAAAUCGAGGAUACAAAUCAGGGAAGAUGGUGGCCACAAUCAUGUGGUAAAAUCAAGCGAAAGAACCUGGGAAGCGCCUUGAUCUAGUUGCAGAAGAAACUGUUCAUUUUCCAUGCUGCUAUCUUACACCACUUUAUAUACAUCAUAAUUAUGAAGAUACACCCCCAAGGGUUUUGUUCUGAAAUUAUUCAACCCCCAACUCCAAAUGCCCUAGCAGUAUCCCAGUGUUCAUAAAGGGUGAUUACAGUAUCAGCAGUACCAGCCACCUGGGAACUUGUUGGAAAACAAAAUCUGGAAAGCCAGUCCCCUAUCCCUAAGCCUAACCUAAAACCCCUAAGGUGGGCAGAUUCAGAAGUCCAAUUAAGCAGCUCUCCAUGUGAUUCUGAAGCUUGGCUGCAGAAAUAAAGUGAAUUGAUGUAAAACAGAGAGGAAAGCAAGAGAGGAUUGAAUAUAGAAGUGCUCCAGGAUCAAAGCUGAUGUAUCAUGGGACAACUUUUAUAACUUAGUCAUUGGUCAUCUUUCUGUCUUUAUUAAUCCACUGUUUCAAUAUGAACACUGUAGCCAGUGAGACUGCUUCAAAUGAAUGUGAAA
Molecule: long non-coding RNA, 690 nt
Filed under: Homo sapiens (human)
Lineage: Eukaryota; Metazoa; Chordata; Mammalia; Primates; Hominidae
Description: HSALNT0322478
Source: RNAcentral